RNAcentral lists this ribosomal RNA (484 nucleotides) under uncultured bacterium. RNAcentral's name for it is "partial 16S ribosomal RNA". It matches the Rfam family "Bacterial small subunit ribosomal RNA", at positions 30 to 507 of the family's 1533-position model. The record is from RNAcentral.
AUUGAACGCUGGCGGCAGGCCUAACACAUGCAAGUCGAGCGGAUGAAGGGAGCUUGCUCCUGGAUUCAGCGGCGGACGGGUGAGUAAUGCCUAGGAAUCUGCCUGGUAGUGGGGGCUAACGUCCGGAAACGGGCGCUAAUACCGCAUACGUCCUGAGGGUGAAAGUGGGGGAUCUUCGGACCUCACGCUAUCAGAUGAGCCUAGGUCGGAUUAGCUAGUUGGUUGGGUAAAGGCCUACCAAGGCGACGAUCCGUAACUGGUCUGAGAGGCUGAUCAGUCACACUGGAACUGAGACACGGUCCAGACUCCUACGGGAGGCAGCAGUGGGGAAUAUUGGACAAUGGGCGAAAGCCUGAUCCAACCAUGCCGCGUGUGUGAAGAAGGUCUUCGGAUUGUAAAGCACUUUAAGUUGGGAGGAAGGGCAGUAAGUUAAUACCUUGCUGUUUUGACGUUACCAACAGAAUAAGCACCGGCUAACUUCGUG